Oncorhynchus gorbuscha (pink salmon) is the source of this 5566-nucleotide RNA transcript. It is a transcript of the gene named SPT6 homolog, histone chaperone and transcription elongation factor, with no coding region annotated. The record is from RefSeq and is a predicted model, not a curated record. Lineage: Eukaryota; Metazoa; Chordata; Actinopteri; Salmoniformes; Salmonidae. The transcript has 39 exons.
CGGAAGUUUCCUCACCACCGGAAUCCAACACGCCGCUAUUCAUCAGCCAUUUGUAUUAUCACAAGCUUGCGCGAAGAUAUAGCAUAGCGACAUAUCCUUCUACAUUUCAAGGAUUUAGGUCAAGUAUCGUCGCAGGGAGAAGCCUUGCAGACAUGUCUGACUUCAUCGAUAGCGAGGCUGAGGAGUCGGAGGAGGAGUUUGAAGAGAAAGACCUGAAGCCUAAAAAGACCCAGGCGUUUAUGGAUGAUGAGGAAGAGGAGGAAGAGUUAAACACAGAGGACCAGGAUGAGCACGGGAACCUGAUGGGGCUCAUCGACGAUGAUGUGGAUGAAGAUGAGGAAGAGGAAGAGAAGAAAAGCGGAGGAGCAGGCAGCGGCAGCGACUCAGAGGAUGAAGUCAGACACAGACGCAAGAAACGCAACUAUGAUGACUACCUGGAUGAUGAUGAUCUGGACCUCAUUGAGGAGAACUUGGGAGUCAAAGUCAAGAGGAGGAAGAAGAAGUAUGACCGUGUGAAGACUAUGGAUGAUGAUGAAGAUGACGAGAAGGACCAGAUCGCAGACGAGAUCUUCCACAGAGGAGAUGACGAGGACGGAGAGGGGGAGCUGGAGGAGGGAGAGACAGUCGACCCGCCUCUACGUCGCCAUGGUGAACGCCUCGACGAAGAAGAGGAAGAGGAGGGAGAGGAGGAGUCGGAUAUUGAUGACUUCAUCGUGGACGACGAUGGCCAGCCUAUCACCAAGAGGAGAAGCAAGAAGUUCUCAGGAUACACAGAUGCAGCCCUCCAGGAAGCUCAGGAGAUCUUCGGGGGCGACUUUGACUUUGCGGAGUUCGACGCCGACGGUGCUUAUGAACAGGGUGAGGAAGAGGAGGAGGACCAGGAUGAAGAGGGCUGGGACCGGCCCAAGAAGCCAACGAAGAGGAGGGUGGGGAGGAAGAGCAUCUUCGAGCUCUACGAGCCCAGCGAGCUGGAGAGUAGUCACAUGACUGACCAGGACAACGAGAUCCGCUCCACAGACAUGCCAGAGAGGUUCCAGCUGCGCUCCAUCCCAGUGAAGCCUGCUGAGGAUGAUGAGUUGGAGGAAGAGGCAGAGUGGAUCUACAGAAACGCUUUCUCAACCCCCACCAUCUCCAUGCAGGAGAGUACAGAUUACCUGGACAGAGGAGCCACCACUAACUUCAGCAGGAAGGGCCCCAGCACCAUCGCCAAGAUUAAGGAGGCCCUCAACUUCAUGAGGAAUCAGCAUUUUGAGGUUCCAUUCAUCGCGUUCUACAGGAAGGAGUACGUAGAACCAGAGCUCAACAUCAACGACCUGUGGAAGGUCUGGCAGUGGGACGAGAAGUGGUGCCAGCUGAAGAGCAGGAAGCAGAACCUGACACGUCUGUUCCGGAGGAUGCAGGGGUACCAGUAUGAGCAGAUCUCUGCCGACCCCGACAAGCCCCUGGCUGACGGCAUCAGGCCCCUGGACACUGCUGAUAUGGAGAGACUUAAAGAUGUCCAGUCCAUAGAUGAGCUGAGUGACGUGUAUAGUCACUUCCUUCUGUACUAUGGCCGAGACAUCCCCAAGAUGCAGAACGCAGCCAAAGCUGCCAGCAAGAAGAAGAAGAAGAAGAAGAAGAUUGAGGUCAACGAGGAAGGUGAGGAGGAAGAGGUGGAGGAAGAGGAGGAGGUGGAGGAAGAGAAGGGGCCGGACCUGAAGCUGGCAUCUCGUAGAGACAUGUACAGCAUCUGUCAGAGCGCUGGGCUCGAUGGCCUGGCUAAGAAGUUUGGUCUGACUCCAGAGCAGUUUGGAGAGAAUCUGAGAGACAGCUACCAGCGUCACGAGACAGAGCAGUUCCCUGCCGAGCCUGUGGAGUUGGCUAAAGACUACGUCUGCAGCCAGUUUAACAGCCCUGAGGUGGUGUUGGAGGGGACCCGUUAUAUGGUUGCGAUGCAGAUUGCCAGGGAGCCUCUGGUCAGACACGUCCUCAGACAGACGUUCCAGGAGAGAGCCAAGAUCAACAUCAAGCCCACCAAGAAGGGAAAGAAGGACAUGGACGAGGCCCACUUUGGCUACUCCUUCAAGUACCUGAAGAACAAGCCAGUGAAGGAACUGAACGGAGACCAGUUCUUAAAGAUGUGCCAGGCUGAGGAGGAGGGGCUUCUCACCAUAGACAUCUGCAUCGACCUCCUGGGGGUCAAAGGGGUUGCAGGUGACCAGACAUACUUUGAUGAGAUCAAGCAGUUUUACUACAGAGAUGAGUUCAGUCACCAGGUGCAGGAGUGGAACAGACAGAGGACCCUGGCCAUCGAACGCUCCCUCACACAGUUCCUCUACCCUCAGAUGGCCAAGGAACUCAAGAACAAACUCAUCGCGGAGGCCAAGGAAAACAUCAUCAAGUCAUGUUGCAGGAGGCUGUAUAACUGGCUGAAGGUGGCUCCUUACAGACCAGACCAGCAGGCGGAGGAGGAGGAUGAUGAUCUGAUGGAUGAGAGUCAAGGAAAAGGCAUCAGAGUCCUGGGAGUGGCCUUCGCAGACAGCAGAGACACGCCAGUGUUCUGUUCACUGAUCAACGGAGAGGGAGAGGUCGUGGACUUCCUCCGUCUGCCCUACUUCCUGAAGAGGAGGAACGCAUGGAAGGAGGACGAGAGAGACAAAAAGCUCCAGGACAUUGAGAACCUGAAGAAGUUCCUGACCAGUAAGAAGCCUCACGUGGUGGCUGUUGCCGGGGAGAAUAGGGACGCCCACAUGAUAAUGGAGGACAUUAAGAGGACAGUGAGUGAGUUGGAGCAGGAGUCUUCUCUGCCUGCUGUGGGAGUGGAGCUGGUAGACAACGAACUGGCCGUGCUCUAUAUGAACAGUACCAAAUCUCAGACUGAGUUCCGUGACUACCCUCCCCUGCUGCGCCAGGCUGUGUCAGUAGCCAGGAAGAUUCAGGAUCCUCUAGUGGAGUACGCUCAGGUCUGCAGCUCCGACGAAGACAUCCUCUGCCUCAAACUACACCCUCUACAGGAGCAUGUAGUUAAGGAGGACCUGCUGAGUGCUCUGUACUGUGAGUUUAUAAACCGGGUCAACGAGGUGGGGGUGGAUGUGAACAGAGCCAUCUCUCACCCCUACACACAGAGCCUGGUUCAGUUCGUCUGUGGCCUCGGACUCAGGAAGGGAUCGCACCUGCUCAAGAUCCUAAAGCAGAACAACACUCGUCUGGAGAACAGGACUCAGCUGGUCACUAUGUGUCACAUGGGCCCCAAGGUCUUCAUCAACUGUGCUGGCUUCAUCAAGAUAGACACCGCCUCUCUCGGAGACAGUACUGACUCAUACAUCGAGGUUCUGGAUGGGUCCAGGGUGCACCCGGAGACAUAUGAGUGGGCCAGAAAGAUGGCGGUGGACGCUCUGGAAUACGACGAGUCAGCGGAGGACGCCAACCCGGCCGGAGCGCUGGAGGAAAUCCUGGAAAACCCGGAGCGCCUCAAAGACCUGGACCUGGAUGCGUUUGCUGAGGAGCUGGAGAGACAGGGUUAUGGUAACAAGGGCAUCACCCUGUAUGAUAUCCGUGCUGAGUUGAGCUGCAGGUAUAAGGACUUGAGAGUUCCCUACAGAGCUCCUAACACCGAGGAGGUGUUUAACCUGCUUACCAAGGAGACACCAGAGACCUUCUAUAUAGGUAAGCUGAUCACCAGUGUUGUGACCGGUAUAGCUCACCGGCGCCCCCAGGGGGAGAGUUAUGACCAGGCCAUUAGGAACGACGCUACAGGGCUGUGGCAGUGCCCCUUCUGUCAACAGGACAACUUCCCUGAACUCAGCGAGGUGUGGAACCAUUUUGACAGUGGUUCGUGUCCUGGCCAGGCUAUAGGUGUGAGGGCUCGGAUGGACAACGGUGUCCAGGGCUUCAUCCCCACCAAGUUCCUCAGUGACAAGGUGGUCAAACACCCCGAGGAGAGGGUGAAGGUGGGUAUGACGGUACACUGUCGCAUCAUGAAGAUUGACAUUGAGAAGUUCAACGUGGACCUGACAUGUCGUACGUCUGACCUGAUGGAUAAAAACAACGAGUGGAAGCUCCCUAAAGACAGUUACUACGACUUUGACACGGAGACAGAGGACACCAAGACCGAGGAGGAACGCAAGAAGAAACAGCAGAGAACCACCUAUAUAAAACGUGUGAUUGCACACCCAUCCUUCCACAACAUCAACUUCAAGCAGGCUGAGAAGAUGAUGGAGUCCAUGGACCAGGGAGAUGUUGUUAUCAGGCCCAGCAGCAAGGGAGAGAACCACCUUACUGUCACCUGGAAGGUAGCUGAUGGCAUCUAUCAGCAUGUUGAUGUGAGAGAGGAGGGCAAGGAGAACGCCUUCAGCCUGGGACACACACUCUGGAUCAACACUGAGGAGUUUGAGGAUCUUGAUGAGAUCACAGCUCGUUAUAUUCAGCCAAUGGCAGCGUUCGCUCGUGACCUGCUGGGACACAAGUACUUCCAGGACUGUAACGGAGGGGACAGGAAGAAAAUGGAGGAGUUGUUGAUCAGGUCUAAGAAGGAGAAGCCUACGUUCAUACCCUACUUUGUCUCAGCGUGUAAAGACCUGCCAGGGAAGUUCAUACUGGGAUACCAGCCUCGUGGCAAACCACGUGUUGAGUAUGUGACCAUCUCUCCUGACGGCUUCCGGUACCGGUCCCAGAUGUUCCCCACCGUUAACGGACUGUUCCGCUGGUUCAAAGACCACUUCCAGGAACCGGUACCAGGCAUCACCCCCAGCAGUAGCAGUCGAACACGGACACCUGCCUCUGUCAACGCUACACCAGCUAACAUCAACAUCGCAGACCUGACGCGAGCGGUCAGCGCUCUCCCACGCAACAUGACCUCUCAGAUGUUCAGUGCCAUUGCCGCGGUGACGGGGCAGGGGCAGGGCCAGAACGCGAACACUACGCCUGCCCAGUGGAACUCCAGCCAAUACGGUUACACCGGGGGCAGCAGUGGGGGCGGGGGAGGCAGCUCCUCAGCCUAUCACGUGUUUGCGACGCCCCAACAGCCGAUGGCGACACCCAUGAUGACCCCCAGCUACUCCUACACCACCCCCAGCCAGCAGACCAUGGGUACCCCGCAGUACCCCUCCACCCCCCAGUCCUCCCACUCCCAUGGACACACACAGAGCAACCAGGGCCACAGCAGCCACCAGGGACCCUCGUCCAACACUCCCUCAUCCUCCUCCAGAGGACGCACUCCGCAGCAGCAGCCUAAGUCGAGCGGCAGCACGGCGGUGGACUGGGGCAAGGUAGCGGAGCAGUGGCUCCAGGAGAAGGAGGCGGAGAGGAAGAAGCAGAAGACCCCCAGAAUGACCCCGCGACCUUCCCCCAGCCCCAUGAUCCAGAGCACGCCUAUGUCAAUCGCUGGAGACGCCACGCCCCUUCUGGACGAGAUGGACCGAUAGGAGAGGCCGGGGGGGGCGACUAUACCCCCCUCCUCCCCAAAUAUACCCCCCUUACUCUCAUCAACUCAUCCUUCCAUCCAUCCGCCUACUUGCAUGCCCCCUCAGACCAGUCACAUACCAUUCAGAUUGCCCUCUCCUCCCAGCCUACUAAACUAACCCUGCUC